AUGCUCUCUUCGGCAGCACACGUAUUAAAACUGGAACAAUACAGAGAUUAGCAUGGACCCUGAGUGAGGAUGACAUGCAGAUUUGUGAAGCGUUCUAUACUAAG
Molecule: small nuclear RNA, 104 nt
Organism: Hyaena hyaena (striped hyena)
Lineage: Eukaryota; Metazoa; Chordata; Mammalia; Carnivora; Hyaenidae
Source: RefSeq, a predicted model, not a curated record